CAGCAAGGAAAGGGUUAAGAACAUUUUCUAUGCUAUAGCUGUCAUGCGCUUGGACAGUUAACAGCCGUGUGCCGAGUCUGUUGGCAGUUGGGCGGUGGCCAUCUUAGGAGGAUGGGCAGAGUGAAACAGGACCUAGGAGCAGAAGGUGCUGAGCUGAUUUGGUGGUGUACAUGGUGACCAAAGGAGACUCCUUACCUGAUCUUCAAUAAAUCAGAGUCCAGCAGCUGACAAAGAGAGUGUCUAUGGAGUGCUGAGCUGAUUUGGUGGUGUACAUGGUGACCAAAGGAGACUCCUUACCUGAUCUUCAAUAAAUCAGAGCCCAGCAGCUGACAAAGAGAGUGUCUAUGGAGUGGUGAGCAGACUACGUCAGCCCUGAGGCAAAAUAGCCACUUCUAGUGAGAUCCAGGAGCCCCAUUGCAGACUAUACAUUCUCACACUCCCUAUCACAGACUCCCUGGUAUACAAGAGAUCACAGUUUUAUACAGUAAAUUAGCCAGUUUCUAUAGUAAUAACACCCUUUAUGAGACUGAUAAGAGCCAUCAAAUAGCAGUAAGCACCUCUGUGCAGAAGCAGACAGUCAUGUGCCGCAGUUUUCUCAGCACACAGCCAGAACUUUGUAGCGCAGUAAGGAACAAUACUGCCUUAGUUACACAGACAGCUUAAAGGAUUCAGGACUCAAUAUCACAGGGGCCUGCAGCUGAUGUACUGCUCCCAGUCAGACAGUGUAAAUGUAACAAUUGAGUACAGUAACCUUUUUGGAGUACAGGUCAGUAACCCUGUUUCACCACCUAUUCAUUGCAAGCCCUUCCAGAUAUAGAGAGACUGCUCAUAACAGGGACAGAGACACCUUAGCUGCCUAUAUUGCAUUUAAGGAUGAGUCAGGAUUAAGUGGCACAGUUGUAAACCUACUUAUUGCCUGACACAGCCAUGUGGAUAUCGCAGAGAGCCUCCUUUAAGAAAAUAGCACCUACAGUACAAUCAGUUAAUAUUACAUCCAGACUAGCAAAAUAGACUCACAGUUGCCUAAAAAUAGUGUGCUGCAUCAUAUUAGAAGUUGCAAAACUGCACGGCUGGACAGAACCUGCUACACUUCAUUUGUUGUAAUCCAUCCAUUGCUACCUUCAUCCAAGACUUGUAUUAACUAUUCUCAGGAUAUAACUUUCCUAGAAAGGUGCACUAUACUCAAUGUAGCUAGCUACAAAACUAAAGGUUUUUUACGGGGCCCCAAUUAUAAGAGUAUUUUCAGGUGAUUGCUUAAAACUGUAUAUUAGUGUGUAAGGAUUGUCAAAUGUGGAUAUUGUUUCUUGUGCUUUAUUGUUCUUUGCAUGAAAAUGGUAUGUGACUAGCAUAGACAUUGAGGUUAAUCUAAAUUGCCAUUAUAUGAGAUAAUCUCAAAUUUCUACAGCUGAGAAAAACUUAUAGCAGUGUUUCAGUAGAAUAAAAAUUCAUAUAGAGAAA
Pseudophryne corroboree (corroboree frog) is the source of this 1458-nucleotide long non-coding RNA. RefSeq lists it as uncharacterized. The transcript is spliced from 2 exons. Lineage: Eukaryota; Metazoa; Chordata; Amphibia; Anura; Myobatrachidae. The record is from RefSeq and is a predicted model, not a curated record.